UACGUAGGGGGCAAGCGUUGUCCGGAUUUACUGGGCGUAAAGAGCGUGUAGGCGGCCACGCAGGUCCGUUGUGAAAACUGGAGGCUCAACCUUCAGACGUCGACGGAAACCGUGUGGCUAGAGUCCGGAAGAGGAGAGUGGAAUUCCCGGUGUAGCGGUGAAAUGCGCAGAUAUCGGGAAGAACACCUAUGGCGAAGGCAGCUCUCUGGGACGGUACUGACACUGAGACGCGAAAGCGUGGGGAGCGAACAGG
This 253-nucleotide ribosomal RNA is filed under the name uncultured bacterium. RNAcentral describes it as "partial 16S ribosomal RNA". It matches the Rfam family "Bacterial small subunit ribosomal RNA", at positions 524 to 776 of the family's 1533-position model. The record is from RNAcentral.